GGUUCCAUGGUGUAGUGGUUAGCACUCUGGACUUUGAAUCCAGCGACCUGGGUUUGACCCCCGGUGGGACCU
This 72-nucleotide transfer RNA is filed under the name Gossypium hirsutum (cotton). It matches the Rfam family "tRNA". Rfam says of the family: Transfer RNA (tRNA) molecules are approximately 80 nucleotides in length. Their secondary structure includes four short double-helical elements and three loops (D, anti-codon, and T loops). Further hydrogen bonds mediate the characteristic L-shaped molecular structure. tRNAs have two regions of fundamental functional importance: the anti-codon, which is responsible for specific mRNA codon recognition, and the 3' end, to which the tRNAs corresponding amino acid is attached (by aminoacyl-tRNA synthetases). tRNAs cope with the degeneracy of the genetic code in two manners: having more than one tRNA (with a specific anti-codon) for a particular amino acid; and 'wobble' base-pairing, i.e. permitting non-standard base-pairing at the 3rd anti-codon position. The record is from Rfam by way of RNAcentral. Lineage: Eukaryota; Viridiplantae; Streptophyta; Magnoliopsida; Malvales; Malvaceae.